GAUGAACGCUGGCGGCGUGCCUAAUACAUGCAAGUCGAGCGAACAGACGAGGAGCUUGCUCCUCUGACGUUAGCGGCGGACGGGUGAGUAACGCGUGGAUAACCUACCUAUAAGACUGGGAUAACUUCGGGAAACCGGAGCUAAUACCGGAUAAUAUAUUGAACUGCAUGGUUCAAUAGUGAAAGACGGUUUUGCUGUCACUUAUAGAUGGAUCCGCGCCGCAUUAGCUAGUUGGUAAGGUAACGGCUUACCAAGGCGACGAUGCGUAGCCGACCUGAGAGGGUGAUCGGCCACACUGGAACUGAGACACGGUCCAGACUCCUACGGGAGGCAGCAGUAGGGAAUCUUCCGCAAUGGGCGAAAGCCUGACGGAGCAACGCCGCGUGAGUGAUGAAGGUCUUCGGAUCGUAAAACUCUGUUAUUAGGGAAGAACAAAUGUGUAAGUAACUAUGCACGUCUUGACGGUACCUAAUCAGAAAGCCACGGCUAACUACGUG
RNAcentral lists this ribosomal RNA (497 nucleotides) under uncultured bacterium. RNAcentral describes it as "partial 16S ribosomal RNA". It matches the Rfam family "Bacterial small subunit ribosomal RNA", at positions 28 to 507 of the family's 1533-position model. The record is from RNAcentral.